CCUACGGGAGGCAGCAGUAGGGAAUCUUCCACAAUGGGCGAAAGCCUGAUGGAGCAACGCCGCGUGGGUGAAGAAGGUCUUCGGAUCGUAAAACCCUGUUGUUAGAGAAGAAAGUGCGUGAGAGUAACUGUUCACGUUUCGACGGUAUCUAACCAGAAAGCCACGGCUAACUACGUGCCAGCAGCCGCGGUAAUACGUAGGUGGCAAGCGUUAUCCGGAUUUAUUGGGCAUAAAGGGAACGCGGGCGGUCUUUUAAGUCUGAUGUGAAAGCCUUCGGCUUAACCGGAGUAGUGCAUUGGAAACUGGGAGACUUGAGUGCAGAAGAGGAGAGUGGAACUCCAUGUGUAGCGGUGAAAUGCGUAGAUAUAUGGAAGAACACCAGUGGCGAAAGCGGCUCUCUGGGCUGUAACUGACGCUGAGGUUCGAAAGCGUGGGUAGCAAACAGGAUUAGAUACCCCGGUAGUC
Molecule: ribosomal RNA, 465 nt
Filed under: uncultured bacterium
Lineage: Bacteria
Description: partial 16S ribosomal RNA
Rfam family: Bacterial small subunit ribosomal RNA
Source: RNAcentral